Molecule: ribosomal RNA, 301 nt
Filed under: uncultured bacterium
Lineage: Bacteria
Description: partial 16S ribosomal RNA
Rfam family: Bacterial small subunit ribosomal RNA
Source: RNAcentral
CAGUAGCCGCGGGAAUACAGAGGGUGCGAGCGUUAAUCGGAUUUACUGGGCGUAAAGCGUGCGCAGGCGGUUAUAUAAGACAGAUGUGAAAUCCCCGGGCUCAACCUGGGAACUGCAUUUGUGACUGUAUAGCUAGAGUACGGCAGAGGGGGAUGGAAUUCCGCGUGUAGCAGUGAAAUGCGUAGAUAUGCGGAGGAACACCGAUGGCGAAGGCAAUCCCCUGGGCCUGUACUGACGCUCAUGCACGAAAGCGUGGGGAGCAAACAGGAUUAGAUACCCGAGUAGUCCCUGUCUCUUAUAU